GCCGACCAUUCUCCUUGCCUUCCCUCUGUGGAUGAGGAGAUUUGCAAGAAGGAUCUGAGUUCAGCUGAAGUGCUGGUUUUGCUUCCACUGUGACAAACAGGAUUUAACAAUAUGUUUUUUUAGAAGGAAAAAAAAGAGUUGCAAUAAGAUAUUAAGCAUUGAUGCAUAGUUUGCUAAGAUUGUUGCAAAGGUGUUAAUUAGCUUGCUGGCA
This 211-nucleotide long non-coding RNA is filed under the name Elaeis guineensis (African oil palm). RNAcentral's name for it is "long non-coding RNA (EGUI_LNC015481)". The record is from RNAcentral. Lineage: Eukaryota; Viridiplantae; Streptophyta; Magnoliopsida; Arecales; Arecaceae.